Nilaparvata lugens (brown planthopper) is the source of this 412-nucleotide long non-coding RNA. RefSeq lists it as uncharacterized. The record is from RefSeq and is a predicted model, not a curated record. Lineage: Eukaryota; Metazoa; Arthropoda; Insecta; Hemiptera; Delphacidae. The transcript has 2 exons.
UGAAUAUAAUAAUGUGGGAUAUUGUUAUUUAAAUAAUAUAUUUUAAGAAUUAGUUUCAGUUUUUCCUUCAAUUUUGAAUUCUAAUGAUAUGUUUCUCAUCUUUACAGGAUCAGAAAUCAAAUAGCUCGUGGAGGUUUGUUGAAAAUAUAACUGAAAAACAGAAAUCUGAAAAAAUAAAGAAGAAUAACUAAUGAUCCCGGAAGUUAACAAAAACGGAAUACAAUUUUUGAAUUAUUUUCUUCCUGAAAUGGUGAGUGAUAAUAAUAUUAUUCAAUCUUAUUUUCAUGUAUCUUAUCAUCAAUGAAGGAUAAUAAGCCUAAUUUAAUUUAUAGGCCUAUUUAUAACAAAGGCAGUAUCAUAUUAUAAUAGUCUUCAAAUUAUACACUACGGUAGUCGUCUCAAGAAUAGUACA